GACGACGCAGCUCAGCGGACGAGCGCAGAGCUUGGCUCUGAGGAUGCUGGUUCAACUCCAGCCGUAGCCA
Molecule: non-coding RNA, 70 nt
Organism: Phytophthora pseudosyringae
Lineage: Eukaryota; Oomycota; Peronosporomycetes; Peronosporales; Peronosporaceae
Source: the annotation of a GenBank genome assembly